GAAGGAGCUUGCUGUGGGAUUUGAAGCUGCAAUGCUUCAGGCAGCUGUGGAAUCGAUCUCUCUUCAGUGACAAUGCCACUGGAUUUCAGUUCCUCACUUUGCAAUGUGUCAUUGUGUUUCCCAGAAUUUUCUCCUCGGUGAUGAUGAUGAAGGAUCAAAAACAGUGGUGUGCACUUUUGAAUAGUUUACAGGAAACUCCACAGAAGCCCCAUGCGAGUGGUGCCUAUUGUUUCCAUGAGCGGAGCCUCCUCUCAGACGCCUUGAGCUUUCUCACAUAG
This 278-nucleotide long non-coding RNA is filed under the name Cyanistes caeruleus (blue tit). RNAcentral's name for it is "lncRNA (ENSCCEG00000008463.1)". Lineage: Eukaryota; Metazoa; Chordata; Aves; Passeriformes; Paridae. The record is from RNAcentral.